This is a long non-coding RNA of Esox lucius (northern pike), 1558 nucleotides long. Lineage: Eukaryota; Metazoa; Chordata; Actinopteri; Esociformes; Esocidae. The record is from Ensembl.
CAUUGCUUACUCCAUUAUAAGUAAGAGUCAUAAAGGGGUUACAUACGCCAAUGGAUUUCUGUGACUGUGGUAUAAGGACUUUUCCGAUCCACACUCUGUACGCGGUGUUGAGUGCUUGCCAUGUCUUGUAUCAUUGUGGCACCAAGUGGCAGUUAAAGGAAUGUUUUUUUUAUAGGGGAUCACCAUGGCACAUCUUAAGAGCUGUAGUACGAGUAUUUCUUUUCUGUCAUUGAGGAGUCCAGCCCAGAGGUCAGUCAGUGAGUGUUGUUAGUGGGACCUACUCAAAUCGUUGCCUGAAUAUAUUAUUGUCUGACUCCUGCACUCACCCGAUUAUGCAGUCAAGACAUUAUCCAGUCAGUUGGAAAGUUUCAGCAGGAAUAUGUUGGUUCUUGUACUGUCUAAUAAUUACAUACUCUAAUAAUGUUUUAUCAAUUUUUAUUGUUUUAUCCAUCACUUUUCAUUCUGUUGUCUGUUUCAGUGGUUGUCUCAUUUUGUUAUUGGACUUCAGGUUUAAGCAGCCAUAUUUCUUUCCUGUGUGAGUCACUUUGUUCAGGAGGUUCCCUUGACACUGAAGCUUUUCCUGCAGUCACCCCAGCUUUCUGGACUUUCAGGUGCCCCUUCUAACAUAACAUUUUCCUACAGUCACCAGAUCUAAAGGCUUUCCUUCUAGUGUGAGAGUGUAUGAUUCUUCAGGGAGUCCAAACCGCUUUAAGAGGUCUCUGACAUCAGACAGCAUCGGCUCCUUCCAGCAUGACAAGAAUAAAUGGCUGACACUGACCACGUGGCCGACGUGAAAGAGUCCGGAGCAGUCGUGGUGAACGCGAUGCUGCCUGCAACGUCAUCCAGAGAGCCCCGGGACACCGUCCGCCGUCUCAUCAGGAGCACGCCCAGGCGUUGUCGGGGCUGCAUACAGGCAACGUUUGGGCCGCACACACUAACGAGAGAUGUGCAGAACAAGAAAAAAAUGAAGCUAGGUGUUGCUGGCUUUUUCAGAAGGGUGUGGAAGAUCUUCACCUGCUCCUCUGGUAUCUCCUCAAAAGACAACUGAGAAAGAAGAUUAUGAUCUCAACCUCAACUGCACACCCAAUUUCUCACACACACACACACACACACACACAAUCAUAAAUAUCUACACACGUACACACACAGUCUACAACAAUCACAAGAAAAUUAGAUUCUUCUGCAUUCUAGUGCAUUGUGUACUUGUGAAUUUCUACUGACAUUAUACAGAAAUGUAGGGAAAGAUAUGAACUACUGUUCUAAAGUGCUUACAAUAAAAGACAAACUAAUAAUAGUUUAAGUAAAAGCAUUAAAGUUUUUCUUGCAGAAAACCACAGGUGGCACAAAAGUGGUGUCACAAAACUUGGGACAUAUUGGAGCCUUUCUAGGGGACCAGUCAGAAUUUUUCAUGAACUUGAGAGGUAAACCUGUGUCCUACUUGUAUGCUUUGUUGACAAAAAAAAUAAUUGUAAACAUACAAAACGGUGUUUAUACAAUUAUAUUCCCAUUCCAUACAUCAGAUUCUAUUGAAUCACGUCCCUGUGUAUGACACUCUUCC